RNAcentral lists this ribosomal RNA (301 nucleotides) under uncultured bacterium. RNAcentral describes it as "partial 16S ribosomal RNA". It matches the Rfam family "Bacterial small subunit ribosomal RNA", at positions 509 to 809 of the family's 1533-position model. The record is from RNAcentral.
CAGUAGCCGCGGGAAAACGAGGGGUGCAAGCGUUAUUCGGAUUGAUUGGGUGUAAAGGGUGUGCAGACGGCUUAUUAAGUCACUUGUUAAAUUCUUCGGCCUAACUGAAGGUCUGCAAGUGAUACUGAUGAGCUAGAGGGUGGAAGAGAGAAGUGGAAUUCUCGGAGUAGCGGUAAAAUGCGUAGAUCUCGAGAGGAACACCAAUGGCGAAGGCAGCUUCUUGGUCCAUUCCUGACGUUCAUACACGAAAGCGUGGGGAGCAAACAGGAUUAGAUACCCGGGUAGUCCCUGUCUCUUAUAA